GGCGAACGCUGGCGGCGUGCUUAACACAUGCAAGUCGAACGGAAAGGCCUUUUCGGAGGUACUCGAGUGGCGAACGGGUGAGUAACACGUGGGUGAUCUGCCCUGCACUCUGGGAUAAGCCUGGGAAACUGGGUCUAAUACCGGAUAGGACCGCACUUUAGUGUGUGUGGUGGAAAGUUUUUUCGGUGUAGGAUGAGCCCGCGGCCUAUCAGCUUGUUGGUGGGGUAAUGGCCUACCAAGGCGGCGACGGGUAGCCGGACUGAGAGGUUGGUCGGCCACAUUGGGACUGAGAUACGGCCCAGACUCCUACGGGAGGCAGCAGUGGGGAAUAUUGCACAAUGGGCGCAAGCCUGAUGCAGCGACGCCGCGUGGGGGAUGACGGCCUUCGGGUUGUAAACUCCUUUCGCCAGGGACGAAGCGUUUUGUGACGGUACCUGGAGAAGAAGCACCGGCUAACUACGUG
RNAcentral lists this ribosomal RNA (463 nucleotides) under uncultured bacterium. Its description in RNAcentral is "partial 16S ribosomal RNA". It matches the Rfam family "Bacterial small subunit ribosomal RNA", at positions 28 to 507 of the family's 1533-position model. The record is from RNAcentral.